UUCGACCUCAAAUCAGGUAGGACUACCCGCUGAACUUAAGCAUAUCAAUAAGACGGAGGAAAA
RNAcentral lists this ribosomal RNA (63 nucleotides) under Lodderomyces parapsilosis. RNAcentral describes it as "Candida parapsilosis partial 28S ribosomal RNA". It matches the Rfam family "Eukaryotic large subunit ribosomal RNA", at positions 1 to 60 of the family's 3401-position model. The record is from RNAcentral. Lineage: Eukaryota; Fungi; Ascomycota; Pichiomycetes; Serinales; Debaryomycetaceae.